This is a long non-coding RNA of Bos grunniens (domestic yak), 3121 nucleotides long. NCBI's taxonomy places the organism in Eukaryota, Metazoa, Chordata, Mammalia, Artiodactyla, Bovidae. The record is from Ensembl.
AUGCACUUCAGGAAAGAAAACGCGUCCCUUGUGGUCACUGAGGUCCCAACACCCGAGCAGUUCCACAGGGUCACUCAGGAGGCUGCUGAGCAGGCCUCCCAGCCCCUCCCGGGACGGCCCCCACAGCAGCCCAGGAGAGCUCACGCUGCUCGCUUCACAUUCUCAGGCAAGUCGAUCUGUUACAUUUUGCUGUCGUUUAACACGCUAUUUUGGCAGAAGAAGUACUGCCCCUUGAUGGGAAGCGUUUCUGUGGUUCCCCGGGAAGGGACCUGCCUUCCCGCAACAUCCAGGACGAGAGAAGAAAGGCGGGGCUUUGCGAAACCUAGCAACCACCGCAGGACUUUACAGCAGGAGCAGCGCCUCCACGCGACCAGAACGCUCCAGUGCUUUCUAGAGCUUUCCCGCAACGCUAACUUCCCAUCAGGCCCUUCCCUCUUUCUCCAAACACCCCAGGACGAGGCCCCCACCACAGGGGUGGUCCUGCCUCCCGACGCUGGGCACGGACAACCCGCACUCGGGACUGAAGGUCACCCAAGUGGCUCCACGCCACAGUCGAUUUGGCAAAAAGAAAAUGCCUUAAAUGCAUAAAAACAAUCAGCGGUCCUCCAAGAAACAUGAUUACAAUAUAUUAGCAAGUUCUGGGCGUAAACAUUUCCAAAAGCAUCAGCAGAAGUAUUAAAUAGAAAAGCAAGAGUGCACACGCCCUCCUCACCCUAAGAGGCGGCAGGCCUGGCGCAGCCGUGGCGGGGCGAGGUGCCUACUGCCGCAGCUCCACGUAGUUGGCAGGAAGAGCCCGUACCUGCCCUUGCACAGCCCGCGCCACCAGCCAUCAUCAAUCAUCUCGAUGUUGGUGAUGAUGUCAUCAGGGUCAAGGAGAUCUCAUCGUCGCCGCUGCGGAGGAGGCCAGAGAGCAGUGGUCACCCCGGUGUCUCUGGGUCAGCCAACCGCCAGGAGGAAGACCCGCCAGCAGCCCUCGAGCUGGCGGCCUCCCACGGAGGCUCUGCGGGGUGCAGGGUGCUGGGGUGGAGGAUCACGGGGUGGACGGGUCCCGGUCUGCCCUGCUCAAUGAGGGCGGCUCUGCACGCACAUGGCAGCUACAGAGACCCAACCGAGCCCUUCAUACAAAGCCCUGAGCCAGGACUUCCCUGGUGGCACAGUGGGCAACAGUCUGUCUGCCAACGCUGGUUGGACACCUUAUCCGGAAGAUUUCACGUGCCAUGGAACAACUAAACAACUAGACCCUGACUACUGAAGCCCACAAGCUGCAGACUGAAGCCCGAGCGCCCUGGAGCCCUCUCUCUGCAACAAGAGAAGCCAUGACAAUGAAAAGCCCUCACAUCAGAAUGAAAAGUAGCUCCCGCCUCCCCACAACUGGAGAAAGCCCACACAGCUAAAAGAUGCAGCACACACAAAAAAUCCUAACCCAGACCAGAUGGAAUGGGACUGAGGAAGAUACAGAAUUCCCUGCGUUGUAUCUGCAACUUUUCUAUAACCUUGCAAUUGUUUAAAUAUAAAUUCUUCUUAAAAAUUGUAAAUAGCGUUCUGAGAGUCCUAACUCUUGAGAGAGGAGUUGCUGGAAGCCCCCAGUCCCUGCACUCCACCCCAGCCCUCCUUCUGGCCCGCCAGCGGUUUCUCACCAGCCUGGUAGUCAUAGAGGCGAUGGCAGUGAUUCCAAGGUCGUUUUCAUAUUCAUCAUAGGUACCUUCCUCUAGAAUAAACCAGGGCCGAGUCUGAGAGAGAACCAGAGCUCCAUGCUCACUCCCAGCAGACAGCCCUUCCCAAGGUCCGGGAGUCGCCAGUCGGGAGUCAGUGGCCCCAGGGCACCGAGAGCCGCCUGCCCCUCAUACCAACAAGAGGAGCCACCCCAAGGAGCGAACACACAGAGGGAUCAUCUGGGUUGAGACUGGGACAGUUGUCAGGGUAUAAUUUUUAAAUUUCAAAUAUUCAGCACUAUUGUCAGGAAACGUCCGUGCCAAGAACAAACGAACGGCGAGCGAGACAGCUGAUCACCUGCCAUCGUGCUCGGGAGGUGAGCCUGCCCUGGGCAGGUUCUCGUGCUGAUUCCCAAGUCACUCCCGAGGGGAACGGGCCCAGACAUACAGAAGGGAACCCCACGCUCAUCUACCCACUCCACCUUCAGGGUGCCAGGGACCUCCAUCUUGUGAACUCCGACACCGGGCUUCCCUCGAAAGACGACAGCAGGAGCCCAUCCUCCAUGCCCACCCCUCAGUGCCCCCGCACAGGCAGGGGUCUCCUGGAAGGCCCGGGGCUGGGGCCACAGCUGAGGUGGGGCAGCUCAGCCCAUGGGAAAGGGAGGUCUGCAGAGGAAAAGCAGCGGAGGGGUGUGAUGCAGGAGGCCCCAUACCUGCUCGAUAGUGGCCCGCGCCCCGGCUGUGAGACGCCCGAGACGUAGGCCUCCGGGUACUCCAGCGGUCUCCACGCUGUAGCCCAGCUCAGGCUCUCUGCUGGGGCUCGGCUCAGCCCGAAUGAGGCCGGCCCUGGGAGUCAAGGGCAAGUUCCGUGGCCCCACCGCCCAGAGCCACGCAGAAACCUGGCAGCCCGGCCGACAUGGGACAGACACGGGGAGGCGGGUCACCCGCCGACGCCCCACGAGCACCUGCAUCCUGACGGGCCCUCCCAGGAUCCCUCUCACCCCGACCCCGAGUCCCACCAUCACUAAGGACCUGCCGGCCACAAGAGACGGAGUUCCUGGGGCAGGUCUGGCCUGCUCCUUCGGCCCAGCCCUCCUUCUGGCCCGCCAGCGGUUUCUCACCAGCCUGGUAGUCAUAGAGGCGAUGGCAGUGAUUCCAAGGUCGUUUUCAUAUUCAUCAUAGGUACCUUCCUCUAGAAUAAACCAGGGCCGAGUCUGAGAGAGAACCAGAGCUCCAUGCUCACUCCCAGCAGACAGCCCUUCCCAAGGUCCGGGAGUCGCCAGUCGGGAGUCAGUGGCCCCAGGGCACCGAGCCGCCUGCCCCUCAUACCAACAAGAGGAGCCACCCCAAGGAGCGAACACACAGAGGGAUCAUCUGGGUUGAGACUGGGACAGUUGUCAGGGUAUAAUUUUUAAAUUUCAAAUAUUCAGCACUAUUGUCAGGAAACGUCCGUGCAAGAACAAACGAAC